UUGUGCGACCCUUGGCUUUCCAUAACUAUUGUUUUUUUACUUUGAAUGCUCUGGGAGCGGGGAGAGGGACUGGAUCAGACGGGAGGAGGAAAAGUGCUGGAGUGCCAUUUGCAAGCCUCUCCAGGUGCACAACUUGGGAGUCAUCCUGGCAGUGGGCCUGAAGCAGAGAUCCAGAUAUAACAUGACUGGCUGCUCUUCCUGCUUAUGGAAUAUACCUGGAGCCCAAC
Molecule: long non-coding RNA, 227 nt
Organism: Alligator sinensis (Chinese alligator)
Lineage: Eukaryota; Metazoa; Chordata; Crocodylia; Alligatoridae
Exons: 3
Source: RefSeq, a predicted model, not a curated record